GACACGAUGGCCGAGUGGUCUAAGGCGGUGGUUUUAAGUCUAAUUUACUUCACCAUUUCAGAAAUGAGCGUGAGUUCGAACCUCACUCGUGUCA
Molecule: non-coding RNA, 94 nt
Organism: Pleomassaria siparia CBS 279.74
Lineage: Eukaryota; Fungi; Ascomycota; Dothideomycetes; Pleosporales; Pleomassariaceae
Source: the annotation of a GenBank genome assembly